GACGAACGCUGGCGGCGUGCCUAAUACAUGCAAGUCGAACGCUGACGGAGGAGCUUGCUUCUCUGGCUGAUUUCCGAACGGGUGAGUAACGCGUAGGUAACCUGCCUUGUAUCUGGGGGUAACUUUUGGUAACGAUAGCUACUACCGCAUAACAGUAGAUGUUGCAUGACAUUUGCUUAAACUUUGCACUUGCAUCGCUACCAGAUGCACCUGCGUUGUAUUAGCUAGUUGGCGAGGUAAAGGCUCACCAAGGCGACGAUCCGUAGCCGGUCUGAGAGGGGGAUCAGCCAAACUGGAACUGAGACACGGUCCAGACUCCUACGGGAGGCAGCAGUGGGGAAUAUUGGACAAUGGGCGCAAGCCUGAUCCAGCCAUACCGCGUGGGUGAAGAAGGCCUUCGGGUUGUAAAGCCCUUUUGUUGGGAAAGAAAAGCAGCAGGUUAAUACCCCGCUGUUCUGACGGUACCCAAAGAAUAAGCACCGGCUAACUUCGUG
This 494-nucleotide ribosomal RNA is filed under the name uncultured bacterium. RNAcentral's name for it is "partial 16S ribosomal RNA". It matches the Rfam family "Bacterial small subunit ribosomal RNA", at positions 28 to 507 of the family's 1533-position model. The record is from RNAcentral.